This 99-nucleotide transfer RNA is filed under the name Planctomycetota bacterium. RNAcentral describes it as "Planctomycetes bacterium (activated sludge metagenome) tRNA-Sec". It matches the Rfam family "Selenocysteine transfer RNA". The record is from RNAcentral. Lineage: Bacteria; Pseudomonadati; Planctomycetota.
GGGAGUGCAUCCGAGCUGGUGUUCGGCCUGGUCUUCAAAACCUGUGGGGGGUCGCCUGGCGCGGCUCCCGGUGGGUUCGAUUCCCAUGCACUCCCGCCA